UUAGAGCUAUGGGAACAUGUAUUUUAGUAGAAGUUUAGUAUUAGGUAGCUUUGGUUUGUUGCAAGGUAGUUGCUACAAGUUAAUUGUUUACUGGUUAUAGCUAGCACAUAGUGCCAUUUUUGUUUAUUACUAUCUCAGAUAUCACGCUUCAAUAUUACUUGGCUAAUUGAGUUUUUGCUAUGCUGUUUUGUAUUUAUGAUUAUUGUUAUAUCGUUGUUUUUCUCUCGAGUUAAGUUUCAAUUGUUUCGUUUACUUAUCGGUAACUAAUUACCAUAGUAACGUCUAGAACCUCUAGUCGUUAACAUUUAUUUUUGACAUUGUAAUGACAAACGUCAAUUUAAUUUGAAAUCAAAUUUUAACUGAGGUAAUCCUGCCGACAGUUAUAAUCUUUACUCUCUAAUUACAACGAAGAAAGUAGAACUAGCAUGAAUCAGAUGCAUUUAGUGCUCAACAGGGAACAGCAGGAGGCUCGCAAGAGAGAAACUGAAAAAUACAUUCAGGUUCUAAUUCAUAGUAUCUAUUGCCUCAAUUUUGCUUGCCCUGAAGACGGAUGCUUGGAAAUGAAGGCGUUGCUCUUGCACGUGCAGUUAUGCAAAACUACCUCGAGCGUAAUCAAAUGUGAGAGGUGCAAGAAAUACUACCAAAAGGUAUAUUAUCAUUCCAAAGAUUGCACGCAUUCCUUGUGCAUUGUGCGGUAUUGCAUGGAGAUCAAGCAAAGUGCCAGAAAGAAAUUGGUUUUAGAGGAAUUGAAGGACGAAUUUAAACGCAGAACUGGAGAAACCCCAAUCAAAUUGAAUAUUACAAUGACCCUAGUGUAAGCGUCAGGAGGGAUCGUCUAUCAACUAUGUUAUCAUGUUAUCACGUUUUUUGCUUGUGAGAGCAAAUACAAUUUAUGUUAUGAUGUUA
Molecule: long non-coding RNA, 906 nt
Organism: Dalotia coriaria
Lineage: Eukaryota; Metazoa; Arthropoda; Insecta; Coleoptera; Staphylinidae
Exons: 2
Source: RefSeq, a predicted model, not a curated record